Molecule: long non-coding RNA, 294 nt
Organism: Apis florea (little honeybee)
Lineage: Eukaryota; Metazoa; Arthropoda; Insecta; Hymenoptera; Apidae
Source: RefSeq, a predicted model, not a curated record
AAACGAAAAAAAAGCGAGCAUACCGCGAAUAAUCACUUCGUCAUCAUCUUGCAGGAACUUCCGGCUGGUUCCAUCUUUUAACCGUAUGGGUCGAGUGCCUUUCCAACAGAGCUCAAGCAUGGAGCCAAAAGAAUCAGCAGCCUGAAACGUGCAACAAGAUUCGAAGUUACGUUUUUACCAUCUGGAUAUCGACGAUUUAAAUGAAAAGGGGAAUGGAGUUGGAUCUUGAUGCACAUUGGAUACUUUGAAAGGCUCUAAAGCUUCCAUAGUAACUAUCCAUGGAGAAAUGGUGGU